This 417-nucleotide ribosomal RNA is filed under the name Merodon quercetorum. Its description in RNAcentral is "eukaryotic LSU rRNA". The record is from RNAcentral. Lineage: Eukaryota; Metazoa; Arthropoda; Insecta; Diptera; Syrphidae.
UAGAGAGAGUUCAAGAGUACGUGAAACUGCUUAGAGGUUAAGCCCGAUGAACCUGAAUAUCCAUUAUGGAAAAUUCAACAUUAAUAUUAUAAUAUUUAUUUAUAAAUAUUAUAAAAAUAGUGUGCAAUUUUUCCAUAUAAGGACAUUGUAAUCUGUUAAUGUAAUAAAUAUUUAUCAUAAGAUUCAAUAUAUAAAAGUUUAUUUAAAUUAGUUAUUUUUUUUAAAUUUCUAACAUAGAAUAAAUUUAAUUGAAUUUGAUAAAUCAUUGACAGAUUUAUUUCUAUAUAAUGCAUAAAUUUUUAAUUAAAUUUUACAAUAAUAUUUAAAUGUAUUUUCAUUUAUUUAUUUAUUGUAUGCAUUUAUAUGAUUAACAAUGCUAUAGAUUCAGGAUACCUUCGGGACCCGUCUUGAAACACG